UUUUGAAUGAUGAUUUAAAGUGUCAAUACUUCUUCACUCCUAUUGUGAGUGAAGUGUAACAGUCUGGCAAAC
Molecule: small nucleolar RNA, 72 nt
Organism: Ictidomys tridecemlineatus (thirteen-lined ground squirrel)
Lineage: Eukaryota; Metazoa; Chordata; Mammalia; Rodentia; Sciuridae
Source: Ensembl